GCAUACUUUCCAGAGUGAGAGCAAAUUUCAAAGAAAGAAUCAUCCAUCUUGUCCUGAAUCUGGCAGAAUGCUGUAGACAGCUAUGCUACCUGAUGUUUACAGGGCAAGAUUGAACCAUUGAUUUUUUACAUGAAACUCCACAUUGCCCUGGACAAAUUGUUGUGAGGAUAACCUCACAGAGGCUGGCUUGUGCCAUGAACAAAUGUGGAGGGUGGAAGACUGAAAGAUGAUUUUUUCAAGGGCUGAUCACUUUUGGGAGAAACUCUGAUUAAAAGAUUAAGCUAGGUCAUGGCAUCACUGACUUUUCACCUAUUGGAAACAGGUCACUUCACCAAAAACCUUCUGCAAGAUCCACUGGGUGAAGAGAAAGAGG
This is a non-coding RNA of Lonchura striata (white-rumped munia), 373 nucleotides long. NCBI's taxonomy places the organism in Eukaryota, Metazoa, Chordata, Aves, Passeriformes, Estrildidae. The record is from RefSeq and is a predicted model, not a curated record.